Vicia faba (fava bean) is the source of this 198-nucleotide non-coding RNA. The record is from the annotation of a GenBank genome assembly. NCBI's taxonomy places the organism in Eukaryota, Viridiplantae, Streptophyta, Magnoliopsida, Fabales, Fabaceae.
AUGCUGAGAGGAUCCUACUGUACACACACAAGAGUAGUUCAGCAAACCAUGAAUCCACAGUCAAAGAAAACAGAGCAGUUGUUACAUAAUUAUAUUGUAGCCCUGUAUGUAUCAACCAAACCAGUUAAAAAAUGGGACACAAACAGACCAAACCUGUUUAGAACCUACUGCAACUUGAUUAAUCUGUACAAGAGGUGA